Heterocephalus glaber (naked mole-rat) is the source of this 2614-nucleotide long non-coding RNA. Lineage: Eukaryota; Metazoa; Chordata; Mammalia; Rodentia; Bathyergidae. The record is from Ensembl.
AUUUGACUGAUGCCCUUAGCCAACAGUACACUGAGGGAACUGGUAUUAUAGAAUGUGCUGUAGUGUAUUUUUUGUUAAUCUAGUAAUAGUUCAGUUAUAGUAUAACUGGAAUGCCUUUAAAGAUGAGUCCUUUAAACUUUGAUGGCAGCUAAGGGAAAUUGGAUGGACGGCACUGAUAGAGACCCUUGACCUUGGAGGGGGGCACAUGGUUAGAGCCCUGGCUCUGUUAGAGCAGUGGUCUCUUAAAGUGGAUUGUACAUUAAAUUAUCUGAGAAAUAGAAGAAAUAUUAGAGAUCUAUGACAAAGUUUCUUCAUUUUCAGUCUGUUGUGAUACUUUGAAGUUUAUAAGGGCUUGAGUGAUUGAGUUUUUAGAUUUAUUAUUUUAAAUGGUGGUAGACUCAAUACUGCUUGUAUUGCAGUAGGGAGUCACUGUACUACUUUUUUGUGUAAUAUUGCAUAGAGGUUAGCUGGUCAUCAUGAGGCAAAAGACUUGUCUAAUUUAAAGAAGAUUUAUUCUUUCACAAAAAGACAAAUGUCCCACAUUGGUUGACUUUUUUUUUUUUGUGACACAUGGCUGUGAGUGGAAAGUACCUAGCAAAUAAACACACUUCAUCUGUCUCUUUGAGAUCCUAGUAUGUUUCUAACAGUGGCUCGAAAAGUAACUACCUUUCAGAAAUUCAGUGCUGUGGAGAGAGGAUUUUGAAUUUGGGUAUUUGGAAAUAUUUUCCAUCAUUAGUGUAUUUAAUUGCUGGCAGUGACUCAUGUUAACAUUAAAGCUUUUGUAUAUACACUUGAGCUUGGAUACAGUUUUCUAACCUGUAUAAAAAAAAAAAUCCUAAAAGAGGUAUUUUGGUGGUUUUGAGCCCAUCACCUGAAAAUAUAAAAAAGACAAUACCAUCUGAUUAAUUUGUAAGAACAACUGAUUACUAUCAGAAAAUAUACAAGUGCAAUAGCUGAAAUUUAGCAAAAACCUGUGCAUAAAAGGUGAAUAGUAUCAAAAUUGAAUAUCGUGUUUUUUUCAGUAUAAUUAGUACUGGAGUUCUUUUGUUUUUUUCAUCUUCAUGAAGUAUGUUUUUCACCUACUCUAAUCAUUAAAUCAAGUAAAAUAUAAAAAUGAGUAGAAUUUAGAAUCAUACUCUCAAGUUGUAUUAUAAAGUAUGAAAGCAAGAUUAAAAAAAAUACAUCAUGUUCAAACACAUUAUUGUCACCAAAAGUAGUAGAAUUAAUAACUGUAUUUUUGUUUGUUUGUUUGUUUGUUUUUUGGUACCGGGGAUCGAACUCGGGUCCUUGUGCUUGUGCAGCAGGCGGCGAAACCACUGAGCUAAAUCCCCGGCCCAAUAACUGUAUUUAUUAGAAAGUACACAGAGCUUCUAUGUCAUCAAUAAAUAAAACAAAUGUAAAAAUUUAUUUUGUGAUAAUAGGUAUUAUUUUUUAGUUUCCAUUUUGUGUAUGCUUUACAAGGUACAUAAUUUAGUGGUUUGAUGUGCAGUACAUAUAAAUUGUAAAUAAAUAUAUCUUUGGCUUUCUUUUCAAAUCUUUUUGAGCUUUGGGAUAUAGAUAAAAAUAGUUAUCACUAUUACAUAGCAAGGGUUUAUAACCUGGAAUUUAUGUGCUAAGAGCUUCUAUGUUGGCUUUAGGGGAAGUCUGUAAACACUUUGAAGUUGUAUGUGAAAUUUUAUGUGUGUAUUUCUCUGGGGAGAGGGUCUGUAGAUUUCAUUGAAAGGGUCCAUGACCUCUCCUAAAAGGUUAAGACUCUCUCUUGUUAAGGACUGGAACCUCAAUAACUCCAUUCAUCCAACCUUACCCUCUUGCCAAGUUUAAUGGAUAUAUCUGAUGUCAUUACCGAAGCUUGGAAUACGACCGGAUUUACGGUCUGUUUUUCCAUUUUGCAAUAAAUGUUAUUGCAGUGCCUUUGGCUUUUACAGGUGUUUGAGUUAUAUUUGUUGCACAACUCCCUGGCCCUUCAUCACUUGGUUGCUUUUAUAUAUCAUUUCCCCCCUCAUACCUUCUCCCAAUAAAAGGAAUGGCCCUAUUGUAUGACUGUGGGGAUGGGAAUAUAUAUGUAUAUAUGUGUAUAUAUAUAUGUACAGAAGAAUCCAAUGUCCAUUGAGUAUUGGGAGACCCUUCUGAGUAGGCUAGGGUUCACAGUGGCUGUGCUUUUAACACUGGUUUAGCAUCUGAAUUUCAGCUUUCUGGAGUUCUUAGGGUCUGAGUUGGCAUAUACUAAAAUAUUGCCCAAAUUCUGUUAGCUCCUUAGAUCUGUUCUCUUUUUUCCUCUGAUAGCAUUUUAAUUCAGACCUAAUUUUUGAAGUAGUGUGUAAAGUGCUUUGACUGUCCCCAGUGAGCGUUUCUUUACUCUGAUCACCCUAAUUUUCACUUUCAUUGUGUUACUUUGCUAAAAAAAACCUUUAAUGAUUCCCCAUUACUGUCAAGAUAAUGCUGUUUAUUAGCUUAGCAUUUAAAGCUUUCCAGUGUUUAGCACUCACCUGUUUUCUGGCCUCAUUUCACAUUAAUCUUCCCCAGUAGACUGCUUGUCUGAAAUAAAAUUAUCAGUUUAUUGUUCCCUAAGUAUUGCUUGGGAUUAUCCACCUUGUUCCAUAUUCUCUUACCCUGG